Molecule: non-coding RNA, 100 nt
Organism: Dendrothele bispora CBS 962.96
Lineage: Eukaryota; Fungi; Basidiomycota; Agaricomycetes; Agaricales
Source: the annotation of a GenBank genome assembly
GGUCCUGUAGUGUAGCGGUUAUCACAUGGGAUUCUGAUAUGAUAUUCUGAAAGUAUCAGGCUCUAUUCCCAUGACCCAGGUUUGAUUCCUGGCAGGACCU